Long non-coding RNA from Vicia villosa (hairy vetch), 1129 nucleotides. RefSeq lists it as uncharacterized. The record is from RefSeq and is a predicted model, not a curated record. NCBI's taxonomy places the organism in Eukaryota, Viridiplantae, Streptophyta, Magnoliopsida, Fabales, Fabaceae. The transcript has 3 exons.
UUAUUCCUCGUUCACGAACUCACGAACAGCGGUGGCGGCGAUUCCUUGAACUCACCUCCUUCUUUUUCACGACGGCGGCAUCGGGCCUUUUUCCUUCUCGCCGGCGAAAUACCGGCCACUCCCUCCGCUUAGUAUUUGUCUCAAUCGAUUACCUCCUCCUAGUCUAUACGCUCUCGCCUCCAUCUUAACCGAUUGUCUCAGUCCUCAAUCUCUUCUCUUCGCCAAUAACCGAACAAGCACAAGCAUAUAUCGGAGAGGAUAGUGAAUCGGAUUUUCCUACCGGAGCAGCUCGGAGCGCCUUCAUCGGUGCCGUUUGUGCGAAAUCCAACGUCAAGUUCUCGCUGGAUGAAGAUUAACGAUGAUGAUGAUGAAGCGUCGUUGUUGUUGUUGCGAGAUUACGAGACAGUUGCGAUGAUUCUUAGAUGGUGAUGAACGUGCAGAAUUGUCGAUGAUGACGCGGUUAUUGCAGAUCGAGGGAGUGUAGUCGCAAAUGAAGCUUGCAGUUCGAUUGCUAUUAUGGAGAGUUCUUUGACCGAGUGAAGAGAAAUUGAGGAUUGAUGAUAGCGAUGAUGAUUGUUGUGAUGUGAAGAUGAAGUUGCCGAGAGUGAAGAAUUCAGAGGAUGAUGAAUGAGGGGAAUGGUAGAUAAGAAAUGGUUCAAAGGAGGGUUGAAGAUGGAAGGUUAAAGGUGAUAAAGAUCGAGAGGAGUUCAGAGAUGAAGACUGUGAGCAAUGAAUGAAUGGAGAAUGGUGUGAAGAUGUGGUGAAGAAUGGUUCUGUUGAGGAAAAUGAUGGAGAGAAUUCAAUGAUGAAGCAGGUUUCGAUUUUAUAGAAGUGGAGGUGAUUGAAUCUGAGGGACUGGUAAUGGAUUGAUUCGGAAGGAAAGGUGUGCUGAUGAUGUGAUGAACAACCCAAAGGAACACAUGGAGAUCUUUUCCAAGUAAAGCAGAAGGUGAAAUCAGGAUGAAGCUGAAUGAAGUCAUAGCAAUCUUUUAAUAGAUCUCUUUCUUUUUGUAAUGGACUUGAAUUGGUUGGAAGUGUAAAUGGACAUGACUCUUGCAAUGUGUAUUGGGAAUUUGUAAUGAAACUUGGUAAUGGACUAUGAAAUAUGUAAUGGUUUUAUAAUUUAGAA